Helianthus annuus (common sunflower) is the source of this 234-nucleotide long non-coding RNA. RefSeq lists it as uncharacterized. The record is from RefSeq and is a predicted model, not a curated record. NCBI's taxonomy places the organism in Eukaryota, Viridiplantae, Streptophyta, Magnoliopsida, Asterales, Asteraceae. The transcript has 3 exons.
UAUUAUCAUAUCAACUCUCUUCCAUCCCAAUCUUCAAUCGGCGAUACAAUCUUUAGAUCAUAUUCAGAUUUAGUUUUUGAAGGAUCAACAUUACAAACGCAAUAAUGUCUUUUUACAAGUCAAUGUCUGCACUUACCAGAGAUUUUUUGGUUAUACCUCUUCAGUUUUCAAAGAUAUGGUUAUCUUCUGCUGUUGGUGAUAAUAUGGUAGUCAUAAAGAGUAUCAACGAAAAGG